This is a long non-coding RNA of Passer domesticus (house sparrow), 6011 nucleotides long. RefSeq lists it as uncharacterized. The transcript has 3 exons. The record is from RefSeq and is a predicted model, not a curated record. NCBI's taxonomy places the organism in Eukaryota, Metazoa, Chordata, Aves, Passeriformes, Passeridae.
GGAAGGAAGGAAGGAAGGAAUCCUGCUCCUGCUGCUGGGGCUCACAGCCUGCAGCACCUGUCCCGUGUCAGCCCAGAGGCUGGCACUGCUCAGCCCCGAGAAGAGAAGGCUGAGGGCAGAUCUCAUCAGUGCACACAAAUACCUGAAGGGAGGGUGUAAAGAAAGGAGCCAGGAACAUUCCAGUGGUGCCCAGUGACAGGAACAGAGGCAAUGGGUACACACUGAAGCACAGGAGGCUCCCUCAGAAUGUCAAUAAAGACUUUUUCACAGCUACAGUGACUGAGCACUGGCACAGGCUGUCCAGACAGGUUGUGGAGAUAUCUGUCCUUGAAGACAGAUGCCCAAAAGCUGUCUGGACAUGGUCCUGGGCAGCCUGCCCUAAGUGACCCUGCUUGAACAUGCUGGUUGAACCACAUGACCUCCGUGAGUUCCUUCCAACCUCAGCUGCUCUGUGAUUCUGUUAAAGUCUGUGGCAGCUCCUUUUAAAUUGGGGUAGGGAAGUUACCAAGUGAACAAUUUGAAUGUUAGUAACACAUUCCUUUCAGUUACUGGACGUAUUGUUACUGGAUGUAUUUGCUUUUAGUGCGUUUUGAUUUCAUCACAGAUUUUGUGGCUAUCAUCACAUAUAAUAAUCACAUUUAUAUUUGAUUGCUAGUCCUUUGUGGUACUCUGUUUUUCAUUUGCCGUUGUUUACUCUUCCAGAAUUACAAGAACUGCAUGGAUCUAAUGUCUUCAUGUAAACUCUUGAUCCUCAUAUUUAGGACUUUAUGAAAAAACUCAACAGACCUAAAAGUAGCAGUAAUAUUAAAAUGAUGAAGCUCUAUCAUGGAUAUAACUUCAGUUUGGGCAAGUGCAUAAAACUCAUCUGAGCCAGGACCGAAACAACCAGUGGUGACACAGCUGAGAAUAACUGGCAUGGGAAUUGCAAGUGUACCUUGGAGUGUGACCUGGCCUGGUGAGAGAAACAGAACAGGUUGUGUUUUCAGUGAGGAUACUCCAGGCAGUCUGUAGACUCAGGGACACAUUUUGCAUAUAAGAUGUUUAGAGGGAACAGACCCUUGCCAACAGCACCUGCCAAAGCAUGCAUUAUAAUCCCAACAGAAGGUUGUUUGGUUCAGGCCAAAACUGUGCCAAGGACCAUUCUAGCAAUUUAACACUUGCCCUCUAGUGCCAUUCACAGCAUCAUCCAAGUCAGCAGCAUAAAUGCAGCCAAAGUUUGUCAGAACAUAUUUAUUUUUAAUUUUAUUUUAUUCCACUACAUCUGUCUGAAGCCAUUAGCAGCUUCUAAAAUAAGUUCUGUAGUCACAAAUCAACACUUUUUUUUUGUUAUGUUUUUAAAGUGGCUGUACAAAUGGCAAUUUUGUGAGCCAAUCAGCAGAGAGCAAAUAGUGAAAGAGACGUUUUUUCUUGAACAAUACAUCUGAGCAAGAGGAGUAAUUACGGGUGUCUGUCAUUCCAGUCUCAAUAUCUGCAGAGACACUGAAGUGCUAUCUGUUAAACUGACUCCUGGAACCCGGAUAUCCUCCCUCCUGACAGGACAGCUCCUUGCUUAUUUUUGACUCAUCAUCCUGUGCAAGUUUGGUCUUCACAAGCUACAAGAGAUCAGCACUUCAUUUAUGUCUCUAAAGCACAUACAAACAACUGUCUCAAAUAAACAUACUUAGGUGGGACCUAAUGGGAUGCCUUCUAAGUUGAGGACCUUCAUUUCCUGACCUCACAUGAAACAGGGUAGAGUUGUGUUUUCAUCUUCUUAAUUGUCUCCACUUUCCCCUGUUACUUCAGGUUCUUUUGAAUCUAGAAGUUACAGUGCCACUUGCAAGAGUAAUCAUGUUUCCAAAUUUGCCAUUAAUAUUAUAAAGAAUGUUUCCAAAAGUUCUGAAAUUAGCUAUAAAAUAAACCAGGACUGAAAAAACCUCAAUUAAUCAAUAAUUAAGGUUGCUCGCUAAUAAAAAUUGAGAGGUGACUUUAUAUAUGUGAAAAUUCCUUCAUGGGGUAAAAUACUUGAUGCUGACUCUCUAGCAUAUCAGAAAAAUGUGUAACAAAAAACAAUAUAUGGAAUUUAAAAACAGACAAUGCCAAUCAAAAAUCAUGAUUUUUAAAGCUGGAAAUAACUAUCAUAGAAUAAACUUUCAAAGAGAAGUAGCUGAUUGUCUAUUGCUUAAUCUGAUUUCCAAGUAAGACAGUCUGCAUUUCCAGGGAGUGUACUUCAGGUGAGUAUAAUUACUGAAUGCAAUACAUGAGCAGCUGGAUUAAAUGAAGUGGCCUCUGUUAGGUACUUAGAGAAGAUGAAUCAGGUAUUUCUGGCCCUGAAAAGUGUGAGUCUAUGAGAAGAAAGAGGAAAUCAUUACUGGAUCUAUUAAAUCCACUUCUGUUCAGGUUAUAAUCAUGAGAUUAUGAAGUUGUGCUGCUCACACCAGAAAUGCUCUUCACUUCUUUGACCAUUCAAGAAGUCAGCAAAGAGCCUAGCAAUAAAGAUCUCUCUAGAACAGUGUGGCACGGUAACCCAGCCACUUCCACCUUCAGCAACAAAAGCCAGAGAAAAUAAAUAGAAGCACAAAGGCACCAACAGAACUACCAACACACAGACUUACCAACCCAGCCUUUAGAGUUCAGCUUUUUACAUACUGCAUUGAAUGGUUCAAUUCGAUUUGCAGCAACAGUAAAACUAAUAUGAUAUUAAAUUAAUGAAGAAAUUUUAUGUAGUAAGGUAGUGAGGUGGAUUGUUCAAUUUGUUGCUAUUAUGUUUAUACAUCUUCUUAUAAAUCAUUCAAUGUGUUUAUCUUAAAUAGGGAAAUGGUGACAGUAAAGGUUGCACAACGUAGAAGUUGGAAAGACAGUCUCCUUAGACUUGGUCUGCUAAAAGUUCAUAUUCUUGAUUAUAUCUCCAACUGGUUCUUAGUGUAUUUUUUAUCUUCACAGUUUGUUUUGAUUUUUGGCUCGGUUAUUCUUUGGCACUGAAGUAGUAACAGUGAACCACACGUUGCUGUGUUGUAACUGCUGAAAGCCUGGCUGCAUAAUCACAAUUUGCCAAUGUCUACUGACUUCCACUUCUAACAAUAUAAUAAGCAGUGGAUGGACCCUUAUGAAAGUAUUGUGCAGAAUGAGUUGUGUCUGGCAGUUACAGUAAGAAUCAGGGUAAUGCCAUCUGGAUAACGAAAGGCACACAGAAUUUAUAUUUAUAGUCAUUACAGCUAAAGAUCUGAAAUCCAGCGCCUCAAGUGCCAGCGGGAAUUGGAGGGGAGACACAAGGAGGGCUGGUCAUGAAUUGAGCAGAGACUGGUGGCUGCUACGUCUGCAAGAGAUUUUGCUGCUCUAAAGUAUGUGCCUGAGGAGAGAAUAGAAGUUUAGCAGGAGAAAGACUGCUUCAAUAUUUUACCCAGCGCUCAGGAGAUCUAUAUUCACUUCUGAGAUCUGCCAGAACCCCAGGCUGCUCUGACCAUCCUACAGGAAGUCAAAAUCUCCAUAUUCAGUACUUCAGGCUUUUGAUUGCUGCCUUUCUGAAGCUGCUGAGCCUGCCUUCCUAAGGGACUGGCUGUACUAAGAGAUGUAUCAAGCUUACACUGAAUUUUUUGAUUGCUAUUUUGUUUAUUGUGCUCCUUUUGUGUCUCUUGAGGGUGUCCAGUAACACCAUCCAUCCCGCUGUCCAUUUGGGAACAUCUGAAGUGAGUGGAAAGGAAUGGGAGGGGGUAAGCAUGUGAACCAAACACUGCAUCUCUAAAGUCAUGUUGUCCCCGCUAAGCAGAUGUCCUUCCAUGUAAAGCAGGGCUGCCAGCAGCCCUCUCCAGAGGCUUGGCUCAGCUUGAACACUUGAGCAGAGCAGAGAGGCCCUUCCUGCCAAGUCUCCCCUUGGGUCACAGUGGCAGAAGGUGUGGCUUUCCUCCAUCAUCUCGCUAUCAGCUGCGCUCUCCUCUCACAGGGAGCUUUCAGGACUGGUCCAAAGCCAACACAGCUCAACACAGCAUGCUGAGACUUGGCAUGGGCUGGGGGAAGAGUAGGGGAAUUACCUCUUUGUGGGGAUAGCCUGACAUUCUCUCUAGGUUUUGCCUCCUCCACGGUUGUUGAGGGUACUGGAAUUUAGGCUCUGUUUCAGAAAUGUGGCAUUUGCCAGUCUCUUGAAGACCCACAUACAUUUGUUCAAGUUAGAAGUAUUGUAAUCAUUAUCUAAAGCUAAAACUGAAAUUUAUGGCUUUUAUUAAGAGAAUUAGAGUAAGAUCAACAUGAUUUUGGCAGAAUUAGAGGACAACUCUAGCUAAGUGCUGACCUACAUAAAGAAAAAGAACAAACUGAGAACAUUUUGACUUGGCAUCAAUGGCAGGAGAGAAACAACUUUGCCUGCAAUAAGCUGUAUGCCAAGUCCCAUAACUUAAGAAGUUCUACAUAUUGGCAAGCAUACAGAACUCAUACACUUUUAAAACUUAGCAAAUGUCUACUUUCAACUUUAUAGGAUUUCUAAAAAUGUCUAAUUGUGAUAGCAAGUGGAAUAUGAAUUCAAAUGAGCUUAAAUUAAAUUUCUAAAAUUAGAAUGAGCAUUUAAAUUAGUACAUACCUAGGAACAACUCAAAAUAAAUUUUGGACCCUCUUAAGAAACAUUCUGAAUUAAUGUAUUACAUAUCAAAGUAGCAUGUAUUUUUACAAGUAGCUAGGCAAUUCAGCAUAUAUGAAAUUGUAAAUAUGUGUUUCUACAAGUAAGUGCCAGUAAUAUUAGGCAGAGGCAUGAUUAUUGUUAGUGCUUGUAAUAUCUUCUGGAAUAAUAAAAACAAGCUGGGUCUACUAUGACCUUUUUCAUUAUGUUUUUUGUUUUACUUAGGCAAUUUAAUUUUCUUCAUCUGUGUUACAAUAUGAUCAUUUCAACAGAAAAGUUAUGCUACUGAAAUGUUAGAAGCAGCUACAAAAGAACACAGUCAUAACUGAGGAUUUUUUUAAUGGGGUAAAAAAGACUUUUACUGAUAUUGUCUUUUUUCCCAAUUUAACACUUUUUUUCCUCUCAAAAUAAUUGGAAAGAGUUUUGCUCCUUUGUUAGGAGUUGAAAGUAAAAUAUGUAAAAAUGUCCUGCUGGUGUACAUACAUUGUUCUGUCACAGCCUGGGCUGAAUGUCCCACUUUUCUCUAAAAGUUAUUAACAUAUGCCAAAGAGCUUGUGGAAGGCCUGAUGGAGGAUCAAACUCUAUCCUAGCAGCCUUGAGGGGUCUUGCCAUGGAGACAUGCCUUCCCACGGGCUUCUUCCCAGCAAUCACAGAAUGCUAAAAUAUAUCAAGAGUCGUGGGAAACCAGCCGCUCCUGAAAUGUGCCCCGUAUUGUGACAGAAACAGUGAGCUGCAUUAGGAUUGUGCAAAAAAAGUAAGGAUAAUAUCAUUUAUUCAUAAUCAUCAAAACAUCUCCAGUGGAACUCAUCUGACAAAGGAGUGUAACGUUAGGACACAUAACAAUGGUACCAGAAAUUUGCCAGGAGAUUUAACUGGAAAAAUGCCUUUCCAUUUUCAGGCACUCCCCACAAUGGCAAGAGCAAAAAGAAAUUAAAUUCAAAAACUGAAAAAGAGAUUGUGGGAAAAAACCCAUUUAAUCUGGCAGUGCUGCUGGCAAUUGGCUAACAUCUUCAUGCCAUGUAGCUGUGUGGUUUCUCUGUUCUGGUAACCCCUGCCUGAGCAUGGCCUGCAGAGAAAUCUGUGUUGAUCUCAUGAGUCAUUCCCAGGAGAUGGCAAACAUGACUAAAAGACUGGAAAACAAGACACAUGUUACAGGAUGAAAACCAAAAGAACUGGAGGGUGUUUAAAAAGCAGUCAAGAGAUUAACUCUGGAGAGACAGCGUAAGGAAAUGGGCAUGAAGGAGGGAUGCAGAACAUGAUCACAGUACCCUUUGCUCCUGCUGUCCUCCAGAGGUGCUGCUUGAGUGCAGGGAGUCCAUGGCAACCCCACAGAGAGCUGAAGGACGAGGCAGUUGUCUCACUGGUCCCAGACAAGGAGACCACUAAUGGUCCCUCUGGCAUACAACUACCAUUCUCCAUUACACAUGUA